AACGAACGCUGGCGGCGCGCCUAAUACAUGCAAGUCGAACGAGAAGGUGUAGCAAUACACUUGUACAGUGGCGAACGGGUGAGGAAUGCAUGGGCAACCUACCCUCGAGUGGGGAACAACCAGCCGAAAGGUUGGCUAAUACCGCGUACGCUUCCGGGUCUCCGGAUCCGGAAGGAAAGUCACACCGUGGGUGUGACGCUCAAGGAUGGGCUCAUGUCCUAUCAGCUUGUGGUGAGGUAACGGCUCACCAAGGCAACGACGGGUAGCUGGUCUGAGAGGACGAUCAGCCACACUGGCACUGCGACACGGGCCAGACUCCUACGGGAGGCAGCAGUAAGGAAUAUUGCGCAAUGGGCGAAAGCCUGACGCAGCGACGCCGCGUGGGGGA
Molecule: ribosomal RNA, 388 nt
Filed under: uncultured bacterium
Lineage: Bacteria
Description: bacterial SSU rRNA
Rfam family: Bacterial small subunit ribosomal RNA
Source: RNAcentral